Molecule: long non-coding RNA, 324 nt
Organism: Stegodyphus dumicola
Lineage: Eukaryota; Metazoa; Arthropoda; Arachnida; Araneae; Eresidae
Source: RefSeq, a predicted model, not a curated record
GAGGACCGACUGCUUUCCAGGCCAGCCCCAACGAUGCCCUGACUGUGACCGUCUCUGCCGAUCCGAUGCCUGUUAUGCAGCACACAAAGCCCUCACUGGAAACCAAGAGUUUUCACUUUGCGAUAGGGUAUACCAGUGCAGGGACUGCUGCCAAGUGAUUGAACGCCGUAAGUGCCCUAAAGAUCUGCAUAAGUGCGGUACCACCAAAUGUCCGUCUUGCGGCCAGUUUGUCGUGGCUGCUGAGCACCGUUGUUAUUUGCGACGUGUUGCUCCGAAGAAGUCUGAUGACAAGUUCAUCUUUUUUGACUUUGAAACGGACCAGUC